RNAcentral lists this ribosomal RNA (465 nucleotides) under uncultured bacterium. Its description in RNAcentral is "partial 16S ribosomal RNA". It matches the Rfam family "Bacterial small subunit ribosomal RNA", at positions 338 to 795 of the family's 1533-position model. The record is from RNAcentral.
CCUACGGGUGGCAGCAGUAGGGAAUCUUCCACAAUGGGCGAAAGCCUGAUGGAGCAACGCCGCGUGGGUGAAGAAGGUCUUCGGAUCGUCAAACCCUGUUGUUAGAGAAGUAAAUUCGUGAGAGUAACUGUUCACGUUUCUACGGUAUCUAACAGGAAAGCCACGGCUAACUACGUGCCAGCAGCCGCGGUAAUGCGGAGGAGGCAAGCGUUAUCCGGAUUUGUUGGGCGUAAAGGGAACGCAGGCGGUCUUUUAAGUCUGAUGUGAAAGCCUUCGGCUGAACCGGAGUCGUGCAUUGGAUACUGGGAGACUUGAGUGCAGAAGAGGAGAGGGGAACUCAAUGUGUAGCGGUGAAAUGCGUAGAUAUAUGGAAGAACCCCAGUGGCGAAAGCGGCUCUCCGGUCUGUAACUGACGCUGAGGUUCGAAAGCGUGGGUAGCAAACAGGAUUAGAUACCCUUGUAGUC